UCCCUGAUAGCUCAGUUGGUAAAGAAUCUGCCUGCAAUGCAGGAGACCCUGGUUUGAUUCCUGGGUUGGGAG
Molecule: transfer RNA, 72 nt
Filed under: Bos taurus (domestic cattle)
Lineage: Eukaryota; Metazoa; Chordata; Mammalia; Artiodactyla; Bovidae
Also listed under: 5 other names
Rfam family: tRNA
About the family: Transfer RNA (tRNA) molecules are approximately 80 nucleotides in length.
Source: Rfam by way of RNAcentral